Molecule: long non-coding RNA, 3221 nt
Organism: Erinaceus europaeus (western European hedgehog)
Lineage: Eukaryota; Metazoa; Chordata; Mammalia; Eulipotyphla; Erinaceidae
Exons: 3
Source: RefSeq, a predicted model, not a curated record
CAGAACCACCCUAGCCAGGACCUUUCAGUGGGUCCUAGCAGCAGCUCUAGCCCUGGGAGUCAAGCAGCCUGUUGGAGGAACCCAGCUUGUGUCCAGGACCUGAGAGAUGUGAUGGAGUUCCAGGAGUUCCCGCCUUGGCAACUGGAAAUGACAAAGUGUUAGAAGAAGAAGGAGAAGGAAAAGAAGGAGGAGGAGGAGGGAGAGGAGGAGGAGAAGGAAAAAGAAGAUGAAAGAGGAGAAAGAAGAAGGAGAAAGGAGAAGAGAAAGAAACUCACAGAUGAAAGCCAAAAGUGGAAGAAUCAGGAUCGGACACCCUGGGCAGCUAAGGGCAACAGAUGCAAGUCACUCCCCAUGACUGCACAUCCAGAUGAACAGAAGGCAAACAAGAACAGGCCAGAGAGGGCUGUUCAAGCAAACAAGGAAGAUUCUAUAAAUAAACCAGGGGAGAAAAAACACACCAGUCUUAGCGGAUGAGCUCAUCAUGCUGGGUCCGGAUAGGCAUCUCUUAUUCCUCUCUUAAUUGAAGUUUGUGAGAGGGAGAGCAGAAAGGAGAGGAGUCAGGCAGCUGGCCCCUGAGGACCAGGUUCCAAGAAGUCACCCCACUUUUAAUUAGACACCGCUGGAGUUAAGGAGGCUCGAUACCAUCGCUAUGGACAGGGCCCUGUGUUUUCACGGACAGGCCAGCCCCACCCUUCCCACCUACCUAGCCAGGCACCCACCCACCCCUGGUGGCCUGCCCACAGUGAGCAAAGAAAACAGGAAGGAGUUCCCAGACGGGAAGAGGCAGAGGAGGGCGCUGUGGAAGGAGGCCAGCUUUUUGUUCUGAAGGGUGGCCGGUGGGCAGGCCUAGGAUGGCUGGGAGAUGCAGCUGUCCGGAGCUCUGGGCAUGGGGCACACGACCAUGAACUAGAGCCCCAGCCUCCACGAGCUCCCCUGUGGGGCCCAGGUGGGGGAGAAGUUAGAGAGGAGCUCACAGCAUGAACACACAAUACAGUCACACAGGCAAACAGGCCACGGACAUGGAUGGAGCUGGUGGCGUGGGGAAGGUCCUACUGAAUCACCACUUGGAAGUGAGGUAGCAGCCCUGUCCUAUAAGAUUCUAGAGGGAGAGUCAGAAAAUGGCUGUGGGGGAGCGAGGUGGGGGGUGGAGCCUCCAGGUGGUAGCUCACAGAUCAACAUGUUUGAGGACCAGAGUUCAAGUCCCCCACUUCCCAGUUGUGUGUGAGGGGGGGGGGGGCUUCACAAGCAGUUAAAAAAAAAAAAACUGCUGUGGUAUCUCUCUGUCUCUGUCUCUCACCUUUUUUUCUGUUUGCCUCUAGGGUUAUCUCUGGGGCUUGGUGCCUGCACUAGGAAGCCACUGGUGGCCAUUUUUUCAUUUUUUAAAAUUGAAUAGGACAGAUAGAAAUUGAGAGGGGAGGGGCGGGGAGGUAGAGAGGGAGAGAGACAGAGAGAUACCUACAGACCUGUCUCGUUGUUUGUGAAGUGACACCCCCCCCCCCCGCAGGUGGGGAGUGGGGAGCUCAAACCAGGAUCCUUGAGCAGUCCUUGUGCUUCAUACUCUGGGUGCUUAACCUGGUGAGCCACUGCCCGGUCCCCUCACCUCUUUUUUUUUUUUUUAACAUUUUUAUUUAUUUAUUAUUGGAUAGAGACAAAGAGAAGUUGAGAGAGGAAGGGGAGAUAGAAAGAGAGAGACAUGGGAGUUGGGUGGUAGCGCAGCGGGCUAAGCACAUGCGGCGUGAAGCAUAAGGACCUGCGUGAGGAUUCCAGUUCGAGCCCCUGGCUCCCCACCUGCAGGGGAGUCCCUUCACAGGCAGUGAAGCAGGUCUGCAGGUGUCUAUCUUUCUCUCCCCUUCUCGGUCUUCCCCUCCUCUCUCCAUUUCUCUCUGCCUUAUCCAACAAUGAUGAUGGCAUCAACAACAACAAUAAUAACUACAAUAAUAAUAAAAACAACAAGGGCAACAAAAGGGAAAAUAAAUAAAUUUUUAAAAAAGAAAGAAAAGGAGAGAGAUAACAAACUCAGAAAAAAGAAAACAAAUGACACCAUCCAAAAAUGGAGAGAGGAUAUGAACAGAAUAUUUUCCAUAGAAGAGAUACAAAAGGCCAACAAACAUAUGAAAAAUGCUCCAAGUCAUUGAUGGUCAGAGAAAUGCAAAUAAAGACAACAGUGAGAUACCACUUCACUCCUAUGAGAAUGUCACACAUCAGAAAGUGUAGCAGAAACAAAUGUGGAGAGGUUGUGGGGACAAAGGAACCCUCCUGCACUGCUGGUGGGAAUGUCAGUGAGCCCAGCCCCUGUGGAGAACAGUCUGGAGAACUCUCAGAAGGCUAGAAGUGCACCUGCCCUAUGACCCUGCAAUUCCUCUCCUGGGGAUAUAUCCUAAGGAACUCAACGCAUCCAUCCAAAAAGAUCUGUGUACACCUAUGUUCACAGCAGCACAAUUUGUAAUAGCCAAAACCUGGAAGAAACCCAGAUGUCCAACAACAGAGGACAUCAGCCUCAUCUGACUCUGAGGCCAGACACACUGGGAGGCCCCUGGGACUCAGCCUGCUGAGGGGUCAGAGGGUCGAAAGUGAGUGGCUGAAGAGGCUCCUGGCCAAUCCCCAAAGAUGUGUUCCAGGAAAAGGCUUAGCCAAGACUCCCAUCUGUGCCAGCCAAGUGGUUUUCUAAACUGGAAUUGUUGGUUGGGCUGUCUCCCUACAAGGCAUCCCAGACCCUGGCUGCUGCAUGAGUUCCCAGAGUUCUGGCUCUCCAAAGGCUGGGCUGCUCCUGGUUCAUGCCCAUCUCAACUUCUGAUGCUGAAACCACCCCCCCAAGUUCUCUGGGGUGGCUCACAGCCCACACUGCCAGUCUCUGGGUUGGUAUGAGGCCCAGAAUCAGUGUCGCUGGCCUAAUGGACAACCUGGCAGUCAUCAGAAUGGCACCCAUUCAGUAGGAGAAACCACCACAGCCUAUGAGAGAUGGGCUCACAGAGAAUGGCGCUGGGGGGCGGGGGAUCUUAUGUGCCCUGCCCUCUGAAAAGCAGGUUUAUGACAGAGGAGCCUGAGGGAGUAUAUGUUUCUUCUAGAAGCUUCUGUGACCUAGACCUCACAGAUGAAGGCCUGUCUGACUUCCUUCUAUAGGACAUCUGCCUCCCAGAGGGAGAGGUGGGACCACACAGCCGGAAUGGCUUCAAUUGACGGAACAGAGAAGCACCAAGUAAAACUUGGACUGGGUGUGUUGU